UACGUAGGUGACAAGCGUUAUCCGGAUUUAUUGGGCGUAAAGCGCACGCAGGCGGCUCUUCAAGUCUGACGUGAAAUCUCUCGGCUUAACCGGGAGCGGUCGUUGGAAACUGAAGGGCUUGAGGCGAUGAGAGGUAAGUGGAAUUCCGAGUGUAGAGGUGAAAUUCGUAGAUAUUCGGAAGAACACCAGUGGCGAAGGCGACUUACUGGACACAUAUUGACGCUGAGGUGCGAAAGCGUGGGGAGCAAACAGG
RNAcentral lists this ribosomal RNA (253 nucleotides) under uncultured bacterium. Its description in RNAcentral is "partial 16S ribosomal RNA". It matches the Rfam family "Bacterial small subunit ribosomal RNA", at positions 524 to 776 of the family's 1533-position model. The record is from RNAcentral.